UACAGAGGUCCCAAGCGUUGUUCGGAUUCAUUGGGCGUAAAGGGUGCGUAGGUGGCGCCGUAAGUCGGGUGUGAAAUUUCGGAGCUUAACUCCGAAACUGCAUUCGAUACUGGCGUGCUUGAGGACUGGAGAGGAGACUGGAAUUCAUGGUGUAGCAGUGAAAUGCGUAGAGAUCAUGAGGAAGACCAGUGGCGAAGGCGGGUCUCUGGACAGUUCCUGACACUGAGACACGAAGGCCAGGGGAGCAAACGGG
This 253-nucleotide ribosomal RNA is filed under the name uncultured bacterium. Its description in RNAcentral is "partial 16S ribosomal RNA". It matches the Rfam family "Bacterial small subunit ribosomal RNA", at positions 524 to 776 of the family's 1533-position model. The record is from RNAcentral.